This 355-nucleotide ribosomal RNA is filed under the name Maurolicus muelleri (pearlsides). RNAcentral describes it as "partial small subunit ribosomal RNA". It matches the Rfam family "Bacterial small subunit ribosomal RNA", at positions 868 to 1391 of the family's 1533-position model. Lineage: Eukaryota; Metazoa; Chordata; Actinopteri; Stomiiformes; Sternoptychidae. The record is from RNAcentral.
UCCGCCAGGAAACUACGAGCAAGGCUUGAAACCCAAAGGACUUGGCGGUGUCUCAGAUCCCCCUAGAGGAGCCUGUUCUAGAACCGAUAAUCCCCGUUCAACCUCUCCUUCUCUUGUUUAUUCUGCCUAUAUACCACCGUCGCCAGCUUACCCCUCAAGGGCAUCAUAGAAAGCAAAACGGGCACAACCCAGAACGUCAGGUCGAGGUGUAGCGUAUGAGAAGGUAAUAAUGGGCUACAUUUCCUAACUCAGGAUACUACAGACGACACUGUGAAAUCAGUGCCCCAAGGUGGAUUUAGUAGUAAGAAAAGAACAGAGCGCUUCUCUGAAACUGGCCCUGAGAUGCGUACACACC